GUGCCUCCUUCGGGGACGCCCUUUUUUUCACGACAACUUCGGGGCGGCUCGGCGUUCGUUGCUCUCGGCGGCGUAAAACCCGCUCGGGCUAACAAACGUUCGGCUAAACCAACGCAACAAAAAACCGGCGUGAAAUGCGCCAAGGAACAUGAAAGAGAGUGCGCUCGUCUGGUGUCAGCACUGCUGCGCUAGAACGGGCGUUGUCUUCUUGAUGAGUUUGUAAUGACUCUCGGCAACGGAUAUCUCGGCUCUUACAUCGAUGAAGAACGUAGCAAAAUGCGAUACUUGGUGUGAAUUGCAGAAUCCCGUGAACCAUCGAGUCUUUGAACGCAAGUUGCGCCCGAAUCCUUUUGGUCGAGGGCACGUCUGCCUGGGUGUCACGU
RNAcentral lists this ribosomal RNA (383 nucleotides) under Saxifraga arachnoidea. RNAcentral's name for it is "5.8S ribosomal RNA". The stretch from base 225 to 380 matches the Rfam family "5.8S ribosomal RNA". The record is from RNAcentral. Lineage: Eukaryota; Viridiplantae; Streptophyta; Magnoliopsida; Saxifragales; Saxifragaceae.